AGCAGCCGCGGUAAUUCCAGCUCCAAUAGCGUAUAUUAAAGUUGUUGCAGUUAAAAAGCUCGUAGUUGAAUUUCGGGGUUAGUAGGUUGGUCAUGCCUCUGGUAUGUACUGGUCUCACUGAUUCCUCCUUCCUGAUGAACCUUAAUGCCAUUAAUUUGGUGUUUUGGGGAAUUUGGACUGUUACUUUGAAAAAAUUAGAGUGUUUAAAGCAAGCUAACGCUUGAAUACAUUAGCAUGGAAUAAUGAAAUAGGACGUUCGAUCCUAUUUUGUUGGUUUCUAGGAUUGACGUAAUGAUUAAUAGGGAUAGUUGGGGGCAUUAGUAUUCAAUUGUCAGAGGUGAAAUUCUUGGAUUUAUUGAAGACUAACUACUGCGAAAGCAUUUGCCAAGGAUGUUUUCAUUAAUCAAGAACGAAAGUUAGGGGAUCGAAGACGAUCAGAUACCGUCGUAGUCUUAACCAUAAACUAUGCCGACUAGGGAUCGGAUGAUGUUAAUUUUUAAUGACUCAUUCGGCGCC
RNAcentral lists this ribosomal RNA (516 nucleotides) under uncultured Glomus. RNAcentral describes it as "SSU rRNA". It matches the Rfam family "Eukaryotic small subunit ribosomal RNA", at positions 569 to 1087 of the family's 1831-position model. The record is from RNAcentral. Lineage: Eukaryota; Fungi; Glomeromycota; Glomeromycetes; Glomerales; Glomeraceae.